Long non-coding RNA from Coffea eugenioides, 153 nucleotides. RefSeq lists it as uncharacterized. The record is from RefSeq and is a predicted model, not a curated record. The transcript has 2 exons. Lineage: Eukaryota; Viridiplantae; Streptophyta; Magnoliopsida; Gentianales; Rubiaceae.
AUGAGAAAGUGGAAAUCAUACGUGGUGAACUACGAGAAGAAAUGAAUUCGAAAUUGGCAGAUUUUAAGGAGGAGUUGAUUGCUCAAUUUGAAGCAAGAAUGAGGGCAUCCACAUGUGACUUGGCAUCACUCCAAAGAAGAGAAAUGAAUGCAG